UGGGGAAUUUUGGACAAUGGGCGAAAGCCUGAUCCAGCAAUGCCGCGUGUGUGAAGAAGGCCUUCGGGUUGUAAAGCACUUUUGUCCGGAAAGAAAUCCUUGGCUCUAAUACAGUCGGGGGAUGACGGUACCGGAAGAAUAAGCACCGGCUAACUACGUGCCAGCAGCCGCGGUAAUACGUAGGGUGCAAGCGUUAAUCGGAAUUACUGGGCGUAAAGCGUGCGCAGGCGGUCUGCUAAGACCGAUGUGAAAUCCCCGGGCUCAACCUGGGAACUGCAUUGGUGACUGGCAGGCUAGAGUAUGGCAGAGGGGGGUAGAAUUCCACGUGUAGCAGUGAAAUGCGUAGAGAUGUGGAGGAAUACCGAUGGCGAAGGCAGCCCCCUGGGCCAAUACUGACGCUCAUGCACGAAAGCGUGGGGAGCAAACAGGAUUAGAUACCCUGGUAGUCCACGCCCUAAACGAUGUCAACUAGUUGUUGGGGAUUCAUUUCCUUAGUAACGUAGCUAACGCGUGAAGUUGACCGCCUGGGGAGUACGGUCGCAAGAUUAAAACUCAAAUGAAUUGACGGGGUCAUAGCUGUUUCCU
Molecule: ribosomal RNA, 585 nt
Filed under: uncultured bacterium
Lineage: Bacteria
Description: partial 16S ribosomal RNA
Rfam family: Bacterial small subunit ribosomal RNA
Source: RNAcentral